CAACUUUCAACAACGGAUCUCUUGGUUCUGGCAUCGAUGAAGAACGCAGCGAAAUGCGAUAAGUAGUGUGAAUUGCAGAAUUCAGUGAAUCAUCGAAUCUUUGAACGCACAUUGCGCCCCUUGGUAUUCCAUGGGGCAUGUCUGUUCGAGCGUCAUUUG
This 159-nucleotide ribosomal RNA is filed under the name Ampelomyces quisqualis. RNAcentral describes it as "5.8S ribosomal RNA". It matches the Rfam family "5.8S ribosomal RNA". Rfam says of the family: 5.8S ribosomal RNA (5.8S rRNA) is a component of the large subunit of the eukaryotic ribosome. The record is from RNAcentral. Lineage: Eukaryota; Fungi; Ascomycota; Dothideomycetes; Pleosporales; Phaeosphaeriaceae.